GGAUCAUUGUGGCUGUGGUCACUGGGAUUGCUGUAGCGGCCAUUGUUGCUGCUGUAGUGGCCUUGAUCUAUUGCAGGAAAAAGCGGAUUUCAG
RNAcentral lists this small RNA (93 nucleotides) under Pan troglodytes (chimpanzee). Its description in RNAcentral is "processed transcript". The record is from RNAcentral. Lineage: Eukaryota; Metazoa; Chordata; Mammalia; Primates; Hominidae.